UACGUAGGGAGCGAGCGUUGUCCGGAUUCAUUGGGCGUAAAGAGCUCGUAGGCGGCUUGGCAAGUCGGGUGUGAAAACUCCAGGCUCAACCUGGAGACGCCACCCGAUACUGCCAUGGCUAGAGUCCGGUAGGGGACCACGGAAUUCCUGGUGUAGCGGUGAAAUGCGUAGAUAUCAGGAGGAACACCUGCGGUGUAGACGGCUUUCUGGACCAUUGUUGACGCUGAGACACGAAAGCGUGGGUAGCAAACAGG
This 254-nucleotide ribosomal RNA is filed under the name uncultured bacterium. RNAcentral describes it as "partial 16S ribosomal RNA". It matches the Rfam family "Bacterial small subunit ribosomal RNA", at positions 524 to 776 of the family's 1533-position model. The record is from RNAcentral.